CAGCGACAGCGUGUCGAGAUGGUCUCCG
This 28-nucleotide small RNA is filed under the name Bombyx mori (domestic silkworm). RNAcentral's name for it is "ovarian small RNA-13231". The record is from RNAcentral. Lineage: Eukaryota; Metazoa; Arthropoda; Insecta; Lepidoptera; Bombycidae.